This 207-nucleotide ribosomal RNA is filed under the name uncultured bacterium. RNAcentral describes it as "partial 16S ribosomal RNA". It matches the Rfam family "Bacterial small subunit ribosomal RNA", at positions 524 to 731 of the family's 1533-position model. The record is from RNAcentral.
UACGUAGGGUCCGAGCGUUGUCCGGAAUUACUGGGCGUAAAGAGCUCGUAGGUGGUUUGUCGCGUUGUUCGUGAAAACUCACAGCUCAACUGUGGGCGUGCGGGCGAUACGGGCAGACUAGAGUACUGCAGGGGAGACUGGAAUUCCUGGUGUAGCGGUGAAAUGCGCAGAUAUCAGGAGGAACACCGUGGCGAAGGCGGGCCGCUG